UUGUAUUUCUUAUAUGGCGUGAAGUUCCCGCAGUUUCUUAAUUUGUGAUGGUUUUCUAAUCAUAAAUUUAUGAUCAAAAAUUGAUUGCAAACUCUUCUCAAUCAAUCCCCUUUAUCUACCUGGAAGCCGCAUUACAUCCUCGCAUUUUGACACAAAAGUUCGUACUCUUGCCAGAAAAUAUUUGUGUAGCAGUCAUUUGAUUUGAUGGUGUUGGGAGCUUUUCUGCAUGGUGUGCUAUGUUAUUGGGGCAUAUUGUUUCAGUAGAAAGUAACCUUUCCAUGCAUGUCAAGAGGGAUUUAUCUAUUUUUGAUAUAUUUUAUUGGCUAAAUGUAGCUUAGAUCUUUUAAAGCUUCAU
This 355-nucleotide long non-coding RNA is filed under the name Olea europaea (common olive). RNAcentral describes it as "long non-coding RNA (OEUR_LNC004671)". The record is from RNAcentral. Lineage: Eukaryota; Viridiplantae; Streptophyta; Magnoliopsida; Lamiales; Oleaceae.